This 253-nucleotide ribosomal RNA is filed under the name uncultured bacterium. RNAcentral describes it as "partial 16S ribosomal RNA". It matches the Rfam family "Bacterial small subunit ribosomal RNA", at positions 524 to 776 of the family's 1533-position model. The record is from RNAcentral.
UACGGGGGGGGCAAGCGUUGUUCGGAAUUACUGGGCGUAAAGCGUGCGUAGGCGGUAUUGAGAGUCGCGGGUGAAAUCCCAGGGCUUAACCCUGGAACUGCCUGCGAGACCUCAGUACUAGAGUGUGAGAGGGGAUAGUGGAAUACCCAGUGUAGCGGUGAAAUGCGUAGAGAUUGGGUGGAACACCGGUGGCGAAGGCGGCUAUCUGGCUCACAACUGACGAUCAGGCACGAAAGCGUGGGGAGCAAACAGG